Non-coding RNA from Asterophora parasitica, 85 nucleotides. The record is from the annotation of a GenBank genome assembly. Lineage: Eukaryota; Fungi; Basidiomycota; Agaricomycetes; Agaricales; Lyophyllaceae.
GGGGUCUUGGCACAGUGGUAGCGCGCAUGCUUCGCAAUCUAUAUAUACCUGCAUGAGGUCGUGAGUUCAAUCCUCACAGUCUCCA